GGUGCCAUAGCUCAGUUGGUAGAGCAACGGACUGAAAAUCCGUGUGUCCCUAGUUCGAUUAUUGGUGGCACCA
This 73-nucleotide transfer RNA is filed under the name Tannerella sp. RNAcentral's name for it is "tRNA-Phe". It matches the Rfam family "tRNA". Rfam says of the family: Transfer RNA (tRNA) molecules are approximately 80 nucleotides in length. The record is from RNAcentral. Lineage: Bacteria; Pseudomonadati; Bacteroidota; Bacteroidia; Bacteroidales; Tannerellaceae.